RNAcentral lists this unclassified non-coding RNA (332 nucleotides) under Hevea brasiliensis (rubber tree). Lineage: Eukaryota; Viridiplantae; Streptophyta; Magnoliopsida; Malpighiales; Euphorbiaceae. The record is from RNAcentral.
AAAAAAAAAAAAAGGUUGAUUGGAGUUAGCCAAUUAAAGAAAUGUAUAACAUAAGCUUUUUAGUAGUUUGUCUUCGUUUUAACUAUUUAAGUUAGGGGUGUGCAUGCCUUACGAUUCUCUCUAGCCAAAUCAAAAAUCAAACUGAAAAAUUAAAAUUAAAAAAGAAUCAUACUAGUAUGAGCCGUACUAAAUUUAUUUUACCAUUUUGAUAUAAUUCUGAUUUUUUAUCAAUAAUCAAAUGGGGAAUCAUAUCAAACAAAUAAAUAAAGUUAUAAUUGAUUUUGGACACUUUUUUAAUAUCAUUUAGUUGCAUUAUACAAUUUUAAUAUAAU